Molecule: ribosomal RNA, 406 nt
Filed under: uncultured bacterium
Lineage: Bacteria
Description: partial 16S ribosomal RNA
Rfam family: Bacterial small subunit ribosomal RNA
Source: RNAcentral
AUUGAACGCUGGCGGCAGGCCUAACACAUGCAAGUCGAACGAGUGGCGGACGGGUGAGUAAUGUCUGGGAAACUGCCUGAUGGUGGGGGAUAACUACUGGAAACGGUAGCUAAUACCGCAUACCAUCAGAUGUGCCCAGAUGGGAUUAGCUAGUAGGUGGGGUAAUGGCUCACCUGGGCGACGAUCCCUAGCUGGUCUGAGAGGGUGGCCAGCCACACUGGAACUGAGACACGUUCCAGACUCCUACGUGAGGUAGCAGUGGGGAAUAUUGCGCAAUGGGCGCAAGCCUGAUGCAGCCAUGCCGCGUGUGUGAAGAAGGCCUUCGGGUUGUAAAGCACUUUCAGCGGGGAGGCGUUACCCGCAGAAGAAGCACCGGCUAACUCCGUGCCAGCAGCCGCGGUAAUAC